Long non-coding RNA from Carassius auratus (goldfish), 507 nucleotides. RefSeq lists it as uncharacterized. The record is from RefSeq and is a predicted model, not a curated record. The transcript has 3 exons. Lineage: Eukaryota; Metazoa; Chordata; Actinopteri; Cypriniformes; Cyprinidae.
AAGACAGCAGAAUAACAGACACUGGAGGAUAUGAAUUGAGUAUUACUAGUAAUAGGGAGUCUGUCAAGAGAUUCAGUGUAACUGUUUAUGCUCCACUAUCCAUUCCUGUCGUUACCAGUGACAUUUCACAGUGUUCAUCAGGCUCAGAAUGUUCACUUUUGUGUUCAGUUGUGAAUGUGAGUCACGUGACUCUCUCCUGGUACAAAGGAAACAGUUUAUUGUCCAGCAUCAGUGUGUCUGAUCUCAGCAUCAGUCUCUCUCUACCUCUGGAGGUGGAAUAUCAGGAGAAAAACAGCUACAGCUGUGUGAUCAACAAUCCCAUCAGCAACAAGACCAAACACGUCUGCAUUACCGAUCUCUGUCGUUUGUGUUCAGUUCCCUCUUCAGAUGAAGUCCAUUAUGGCGGAGGGACUGAACCUGUGAUCCGAUUGGUCGUCACUGCUGUGGUGGGUCUGGCUGCUGUGGCUGCGUUCAUUGUGCUGGUUUAUGACAUCAGAUCCAGAAGAG